Molecule: ribosomal RNA, 292 nt
Filed under: uncultured bacterium
Lineage: Bacteria
Description: partial 16S ribosomal RNA
Rfam family: Bacterial small subunit ribosomal RNA
Source: RNAcentral
GUGCCAGCCGCCGCGGUAACACGUAGGAGCCUAGCGUUAUCCGAAUUUACUGGGCGUAAAGCGCGUGUAGGCGGUUCGGUAAGUUGGGUGUGAAAUCUCCUGGCUCAACUGGGAGAGGUCGCUCAAUACUGUCGAGCUUGAGGAUGGUAGAGGGAGGUGGAAUUCCGGGUGUAGUGGUGAAAUGCGUAGAUAUCCGGAGGAAUACCAGUGGCGAAGGCGGCCUCCUGGACCAUUUCUGACGCUCAGACGCGAAAGCUAGGGGAGCGAACGGGAUUAGAAACCCCUGUAGUCC